RNAcentral lists this ribosomal RNA (523 nucleotides) under uncultured prokaryote. Its description in RNAcentral is "bacterial SSU rRNA". It matches the Rfam family "Bacterial small subunit ribosomal RNA", at positions 355 to 896 of the family's 1533-position model. The record is from RNAcentral.
UGGGGAAUAUUGGACAAUGGGGGCAACCCUGAUCCAGCAAUGCCGCGUGAAUGAUGAAGGCCUUAGGGUUGUAAAGUUCUUUUAUUGAUGACGAUAAUGACGGUAAUCAAUGAAUAAGCACCGGCUAACUUCGUGCCAGCAGCCGCGGUAAUACGAAGGGUGCUAGCGUUGUUCGGAAUGACUGGGCGUAAAGGGUGCGUAGGCGGUAAGAUGCGUCUGAUGUGAAAUCCCUGGGCUUAACCUAGGAACUGCAUUGGAUACGGUCUUACUAGAGUCCGCGAGAGGAAGAUGGAAUUGUGCGUGUAGAGGUGAAAUUCGUAGAUAUGCACAAGAACACCGGUGGCGAAGGCGAUCUUCUGGAGCGGUACUGACGCUAAGGCACGAAAGCGUGGGGAGCAAACAGGAUUAGAUACCCUGGUAGUCCACGCUGUAAACGAUGAUUAUUAGAUGUCGGGAGGGUUACCUUUCGGUAUCGCAGCUAACGCAUUAAAUAAUCCGCCUGGGGAGUACGGUCGCAAGAUUA